CAAGCCGAUGCCUCAAGUUCAUGGAACGAAUUGCAAAGAUAUGAGGUUGAAUAUGUGCUGUGAUGGACGAUGGUCGACGCCCAGUUGAAUAAUACUUUCUGCACCGUCGGGUCUUCAGGGAAAGUCCAGCUUUCGAAUAUGAAGUGUCAAGGCCAGAGACGAAACUGAGGCGGGCCAAAAUCCGGCUCGCUUGAUACCCAUCCUUUCGGCAACUUCCAGUGCCCAUCCGGCAGUAAGGUCUGCAAUUACAAAGUUGAUCUGCUCAUCUUCAUUGCCCUUUGACUGCUGCUUCACUUUCUCAAUGAACUCCUGCAAAUAACCUGGCAUCACUCUUGAUAUGCUCUCCAGCAGCUUCACCCAGUCCUUGCGCUCCUCGUCAGUCUCGAGCCCAUCUGGAAAUGCAACGAAAUCAAUCGGAUUCAAUCCAUCAUCUAGCUGGUUUGCGGCCAUCACUUGCGUAUGAACAGACUCGGUGUUCACAACGGUAACCUUGAUGCCAUGAUCAGCAAUACAGUGGGACAGUUUCAGGAGAGGAGUGACAUGACCUUGUGCAGGAAAUGGUAUACAUAGGACAUGUUUUAGCUCUGCCAUUGUUGACAACAAAUGAGGGACAGUUCCUUCGCACGCUUUCUACUGGCUUCUUAAAGCUCAGAUUCGACUGUAGGGACUUUGGUACUAGGCUUUCUGUAGAUUUAUCUUUGUCCGUCUAACACAAAGAACAGAAGCUGCGGCGGCAACAAGGAUUAAAAACAACUGCCAGCGAUUUCUCUACGGCAGGUUUGUUUUUUUCACGUCUGCAUUUUGUUAUCAACAAAUUGACUCUCUCCA
Molecule: long non-coding RNA, 828 nt
Organism: Eucalyptus grandis
Lineage: Eukaryota; Viridiplantae; Streptophyta; Magnoliopsida; Myrtales; Myrtaceae
Exons: 2
Source: RefSeq, a predicted model, not a curated record